Molecule: transfer RNA, 74 nt
Filed under: Kitasatospora sp. CB01950
Lineage: Bacteria; Bacillati; Actinomycetota; Actinomycetes; Kitasatosporales; Streptomycetaceae
Also listed under: 1 other name
Description: tRNA-Ala
Rfam family: tRNA
About the family: Transfer RNA (tRNA) molecules are approximately 80 nucleotides in length. Their secondary structure includes four short double-helical elements and three loops (D, anti-codon, and T loops). Further hydrogen bonds mediate the characteristic L-shaped molecular structure. tRNAs have two regions of fundamental functional importance: the anti-codon, which is responsible for specific mRNA codon recognition, and the 3' end, to which the tRNAs corresponding amino acid is attached (by aminoacyl-tRNA synthetases). tRNAs cope with the degeneracy of the genetic code in two manners: having more than one tRNA (with a specific anti-codon) for a particular amino acid; and 'wobble' base-pairing, i.e. permitting non-standard base-pairing at the 3rd anti-codon position.
Source: RNAcentral
CCCGGGCGUAGCGCAGAGGCAGACGCAUCGCUUUCGCAGAGCGGGUCACGCCGGUUCGAAUCCGGCCCCCGGGA